RNAcentral lists this transfer RNA (72 nucleotides) under Camelus ferus (Wild Bactrian camel). It matches the Rfam family "tRNA". From Rfam's summary of the family: Transfer RNA (tRNA) molecules are approximately 80 nucleotides in length. Their secondary structure includes four short double-helical elements and three loops (D, anti-codon, and T loops). The record is from Rfam by way of RNAcentral. Lineage: Eukaryota; Metazoa; Chordata; Mammalia; Artiodactyla; Camelidae.
GCAGAUAUAGCUCAGUGGUAGAGUGUGUGCCUAGAGUGCAUAAGGCCCUGGGUUCAAUCCCCAUUAUCUCCA